CUUUGGGAUAACCCUCGGAAACGGGGGCUAAUACCGGAUACAACCUUUGGUCGCAUGACUGGGGGUGGAAAGUUUUUCGGCCUGGGAUGGGCUCGCGGCCUAUCAGCUUGUUGGUGGGGUGAUGGCCUACCAAGGCGACGACGGGUAGCCGGCCUGAGAGGGCGACCGGCCACACUGGGACUGAGACACGGCCCAGACUCCUACGGGAGGCAGCAGUGGGGAAUAUUGCACAAUGGGCGGAAGCCUGAUGCAGCGACGCCGCGUGAGGGAUGACGGCCUUCGGGUUGUAAACCUCUUUCAGCAGGGACGAAGCGCAAGUGACGGUACCUGCAGAAGAAGCGCCGGCCAACUACGUGCCAGCAGCCGCGGUAAGACGUAGGGCGCGAGCGUUGUCCGGAUUUAUUGGGCGUAAAGAGCUCGUAGGCGGCUUGUCGCGUCGACCGUGAAAACUUGGGGCUCAACCCCAAGCCUGCGGUCGAUACGGGCAGGCUAGAGUUCGGUAGGGGAGACUGGAAUUCCUGGUGUAGCGGUGAAAUGCGCAGAUAUCAGGAGGAACACCGGUGGCGAAGGCGGGUCUCUGGGCCGAUACUGACGCUGAGGAGCGAAAGCGUGGGGAGCGAACAGGAUUAGAUACCCUGGUAGUCCACGCUGUAAACGUUGGGCGC
RNAcentral lists this ribosomal RNA (665 nucleotides) under uncultured Micromonosporaceae bacterium. RNAcentral describes it as "bacterial SSU rRNA". It matches the Rfam family "Bacterial small subunit ribosomal RNA", at positions 136 to 816 of the family's 1533-position model. The record is from RNAcentral. Lineage: Bacteria; Bacillati; Actinomycetota; Actinomycetes; Micromonosporales; Micromonosporaceae.